GGAUGAGAUAGCAGAUGAGCAAUAUCUUUUUGGAGGUGAAAAGCUCACUGAAAUAGAAACUGACCAAUAUAGAUACAAGAAAGAGCUCUACGAUCUUGUGAUCAAAAGAACGCAUGAAGACGAUAAUGCUGAUGAGUAUAUAAUGCCAGAUGCUUAUGAUCAAGAUGGACG
Non-coding RNA from Camelina sativa (false flax), 171 nucleotides. Lineage: Eukaryota; Viridiplantae; Streptophyta; Magnoliopsida; Brassicales; Brassicaceae. The record is from RefSeq and is a predicted model, not a curated record.